UGGCGCCUCAGCGCUCUCCUGGCGCCUCCCUCCUCGCUGAACGCCAACAGUGCUCUUCCUCAGAUGCUCGAUUUGACUGGUGUGAGGUACAAAACAGUCACGAAAGUGAAAUCAUGAGACUAUUACCGAUGUAAAUGGCAGAUUCACCUCAAGAAGGAGAUACUUAAGAAGGUCUCAGAGACAGAUUAUGCCACUUCUGGAUCUACUGAAGUCUGAGUCACACCUGAGAAACACAGAUGCAGGAGAAAUCUCCUAAUAUAUUCAGAAUUGAUGUGUAAUCCCCCAUAAAAUACAUCGUUUCCAUUGUAAAAAUCAGUGAUGCAAACCCACUUCACGCGCAGCACCCACCUGCACCGUACCACACAACGCUGUGACAACACUAACACGAAGCUGAUGCUGAUUGCUCAACAGUGAGGGAUCCCUGCCCAGGAGCAGCCAGCACCGUGGAGCUGGGAUUUUUUUUGAAGAAAAUUUCAAACAUUAUG
RNAcentral lists this unclassified non-coding RNA (485 nucleotides) under Homo sapiens (human). Its description in RNAcentral is "long intergenic non-protein coding RNA 3021 (ENSG00000282397.1)". Lineage: Eukaryota; Metazoa; Chordata; Mammalia; Primates; Hominidae. The record is from RNAcentral.